Pelobates cultripes (western spadefoot toad) is the source of this 320-nucleotide non-coding RNA. NCBI's taxonomy places the organism in Eukaryota, Metazoa, Chordata, Amphibia, Anura, Pelobatidae. The record is from the annotation of a GenBank genome assembly.
GGCAGAGUGACACAUCCAGUUAAUUAAAGAUAUACCCAUACGGAAGGCAAAUGCACGUGGUUAAUGUGAAUUAAACCAUGACAACCUUCCUAAUUAGCCUUGCUUUCAGAGAAUAAAUAAAUAUAUAGGAUGAUACUGGAAUGGCUGCUCGGACUGCGUGGGAUUCGCUUUGUCUGUCCUCAAAUUGCAAUAAACAAACGUUUCCUCCCUAGGAAGCAGGAAUGGUCUGCGUCAAAGUUACCACAAAACGAAUCAAUUACAAAUGGAUCUCUUGGGAUGAACAAAUAAAACUGAAAUGAGUUGCAGACUGUGGGGAAAUA